GAUCCUGGCUCAGAACGAACGCUGGCGGCGCGUCUUAAGCAUGCAAGUCGAACGGCAAGAGGUAGCAAUACCUCCUAGAGUGGCGGACUGGUGAGUAACACGUGGGUGACAUACCCUUCAGAUGGGGGAUAGCUAUUAGAAAUAGUAGAUAAUACCGAAUACGAGCACAGGGGUUAGAGAUCUGUGAGGAAAGGAGCUAAGGCUCCGCUGAAGGAAUGGCCUGCGGCCCAUUAGCUAGUUGGUGAGGUAAGAGCCCACCAAGGCGAUGAUGGGUAUCCGGCCUUAGAGGGUGAACGGACACAUUGGGACUGAGAUACGGCCCAGACUCCUACGGGAGGCAGCAGCUAAGAAUAUUCCGCAAUGGACGAAAGUCUGACGGAGCGACGCCGCGUGGAUGAAGAAGGCCGGAAGGUUGUAAAAUCCUUUUGAAACUGAAGAAUAAGCGUUGUAGGGAAUGACAGCGUGGUGACAGUAGGUUUUGAAUAAGCAACGGCUAAUUACGUGCCAGCCGCAGC
RNAcentral lists this ribosomal RNA (515 nucleotides) under uncultured bacterium. RNAcentral describes it as "bacterial SSU rRNA". It matches the Rfam family "Bacterial small subunit ribosomal RNA", at positions 15 to 518 of the family's 1533-position model. The record is from RNAcentral.